RNAcentral lists this ribosomal RNA (245 nucleotides) under uncultured Rhodospirillaceae bacterium. Its description in RNAcentral is "partial 16S ribosomal RNA". It matches the Rfam family "Bacterial small subunit ribosomal RNA", at positions 524 to 768 of the family's 1533-position model. The record is from RNAcentral. Lineage: Bacteria; Pseudomonadati; Pseudomonadota; Alphaproteobacteria; Rhodospirillales; Rhodospirillaceae.
GACAGAGGUGGCAAGCGUUGUUCGGAUUUAUUGGGCGUAAAGAGCGCGUAGGCGGUCCUGUAAGUCGGGGGUGAAAUCCCGGGGCUUAACCCCGGAACUGCCCUCGAUACUGCUGGACUUGAGUGCGGGAGAGGGUAGUGGAAUUCCCAGUGUAGAGGUGAAAUUCGUAGAUAUUGGGAAGAACACCAGUGGCGAAGGCAGCUACCUGGACCGCAACUGACGCUGAGGCGCGAAAGCGUGGGGAG